AAGGCUUCAGUACGACCCAGUCAGAACCAUAAGUCUCAAAGCCCCGACGAGUAGGGUGGCGUGCCGGUGAGCGUUGAAGGCCAAGACGUGAGUCAGGCUGGAGCCGCCGGUAGUGCAGAUCUUGGUGGUAGUAGCAAGUACUCUGGUGAACCAACCUGGAGCUGUGAGGUCUGGAUUAGGGUUCCAUGUCAACAGUGAUUGAACAUGGGUGAGUCGAUCCUAAGCCAACUGUGAAAGCAGUGACAUCCCGACAAAGGGGCAAAUGAUUGGUUGGUUGGUUGGGUGUGUGGCCUGUGCCUGCAAGCUCGCAUAAAAAAACUCGCCUCCCAUCGAUACACAUGCAAUGAAUACGCUCGAUGGCGUUGGCGACGACUGAAAGAGGAUGGGUGGCUUUGGCGAGAAAUGGGGGGGCUUGCGUCGCGCUUGUUGAAAUGCUCACACCACCACCACCGCUACGCUCUCUGCGUUGGUUCUAUGUCUGGCGAAAGGGAAUGGGGACUUUGUUCCUUGACCGGUCCCGGCACCCUCGAUAGGCUUUGCCAUUCAAUGGUCCAUGCAAAUGGAACCAGGCCACAGCCGCCGGCAGUCGCCCGAGGAAGAGUUUUCUUUUCUGCUUAACGCACGAGAUCAUCCCUGGAAACAGUUCGGCUGGCGAAAGGGUGCCCCGUUGCGGCAGAGCGCCACGACUGUCGUGCGCGUCUCGGUGUUCCUGCCGGUCCGUGAAGACGUGGUCGAGGGGAUUGCACACUUGUAUCAACGAAACGCCCGACAAGUUCGGGACGGACCGUACCCUAUAUCCGCAUCUGGUCUCCAAGGUUCGUAGCCUCUGCAGAGUCAGACACAUGUAGGUAAGGGAAGUCGGCAAAUUCGAUCCGUAACUUCGGGAAAAGGAUUGGCUCUGAGGGCCGAGCUGGGCCGGGCCUUGCCUGCAAAGCAGUACCUAUAGUGACCGGAGUUUUAGGAGUGCGAGGGGCUCUAGUAGCUGCCUGCGUUCACGCGUAGGCACGAACGAGUCUACCGCUCCGCUCCAACCACGAACGGCUGUGACGGCAAGGGCUCUGGGCGGGAGCGUUCAAACCGUAUGCUUCCCAGCUCGUCUGGGUGGUUGCGGGGCUUCGUCUGACCCAUACGGCUCCAGCGGCUAGCGGCUAACUCAGAACUGUCAUGGACCAAGGGAAUCCGACUGUCUAAUUAAAACAAAGCGUCGUGACGGCCCC
Molecule: ribosomal RNA, 1217 nt
Filed under: Niphargus sp. ND605
Lineage: Eukaryota; Metazoa; Arthropoda; Malacostraca; Amphipoda; Niphargidae
Description: partial large subunit ribosomal RNA
Rfam family: Eukaryotic large subunit ribosomal RNA
Source: RNAcentral